AAUGAUUCUUCCGUUGCAGAAAAAUGUCGAAAUUUAAAUGUUUCAACUUGUUAAAAUAAUCCUUAGAAAGUCCGAUAAACUUAGAUACCCCAAAGUGUGUCAUAUAAAAAGAAACACUUCCAAAAGACAAACAAUCUCAAACAAAGGUGCAUGAAAGACAUCAUCAAAAUAUAUAUGCGCACUAUAUACUCACCUCCCUUCAGCGACACAAACCGAAAUUUGCGGCU
Molecule: non-coding RNA, 227 nt
Organism: Drosophila melanogaster (fruit fly)
Lineage: Eukaryota; Metazoa; Arthropoda; Insecta; Diptera; Drosophilidae
Source: Ensembl